GGAAACGAAAGUGCAAUGAUUGGGGGAAAUACAGGAAGUCAGGGGAUCAAAGAAGCAGACCCCCCUCUGCUCCCACCACCCUGUUAAUGGAAGGCAGAGCUGGAGGGUACCACCAGCAGCUACCCAUGCAGAACUGUGUUGAAGAACAAGGCUGUCACCACCCUGGGGACUUCCAGCCCCACCCAGCCAUUGCUUCUGCGGGAUCAGACUGCAGGGAGCCAGCUCCUCCCAAAAAGAACCCCCAGGAGGGAAGGAUUUCUCCCUUCAGCCACCCACCCCUCAUCCCCCACCGGCAGCCGGAAGCCUAUCCUCUGUCCCUGCGUCUCCAGUUGCUUUGACCCCAUCUGUCCCCGUUAGUUAUCCUACCUCUUUCUAAGAGAUGCCCAGUGAGGGUGGGGCUGGGUGGUGGGUACAGUGCCAUUGCUCUGUCCUGGAGCAUGCAUGUGGCUCUGUGUAGUGUCUCCUUAAGGUGGAAGCUUCUCCCCUCCUGUCAAGCCCUGGUCCCAGCAGCUCCAAGUGCCAGCUGAUGCUGCCCAGGGCAUCUGAGCUGUGUUUCUUACAAUCUGCAGGAAAUGUGGUCCUGCAGCCUCCACCAUUGGGUGAGAGGGAACCAGUAUUGGAGACGAGACUGGGAGAAGGACACAGAUAACAGGGAUGACAAUGGCAGGGCCGGGCUGGGCAAGGGGUGGGGGUGAUCCCCAACCAUUAACCUGAGAAGCUGCCUUUCAUCUUUAGAGAGUUUUCUGAUUGACACUUCAAUUAAACUAUUCCAGGACAAACCACCAA
Molecule: long non-coding RNA, 786 nt
Filed under: Homo sapiens (human)
Lineage: Eukaryota; Metazoa; Chordata; Mammalia; Primates; Hominidae
Description: HSALNT0060131
Source: RNAcentral